UGGCGUGUAGCUCAGUGGUGAAAGCGGCGACCUUAUAAGUCGUGGGUCGGAGGUUCAAAUCCUCCCACGCCAA
Molecule: transfer RNA, 73 nt
Filed under: Aeoliella straminimaris
Lineage: Bacteria; Pseudomonadati; Planctomycetota; Planctomycetia; Pirellulales; Lacipirellulaceae
Rfam family: tRNA
About the family: Transfer RNA (tRNA) molecules are approximately 80 nucleotides in length. Their secondary structure includes four short double-helical elements and three loops (D, anti-codon, and T loops).
Source: Rfam by way of RNAcentral